CCUACGGGAGGCAGCAGUGGGGGAUAUUGGGCAAUGGAGGCAAGCCUGAUCCAGCGACGCCGCGUGAAGGAAGAAGUCUUUCGGGAUGUAACGCCCUAUUAACAGGGAAGAACAGAUGACGGUACCUCAUGAAUAAGCCACGGCUAACUACGUGCCAGCAGCCGCGGUAAUACGUAUGGUGCAAGCUUUAUCCGGAUUUACUGGGUGAACAGGGAGCGCAGGCGGAAAGGCAAGCCUGAUGUGAAAGCCGGGGGCACAACCGGCGGACUGCAUGUGAAACUACCGGGCUGGAGUGCAGGAGAGGUAGGCGGAAUUCCUAGUGUAGCGGUGAAAUGCGUAGAUAUUAGGAAGAACACCAGUGGCGAAGGCGGACUACUGGACGGUGACUGACGCUGAGGCGCGAAAGCGUGGGGAGCAAACAGGAUUAGAUACCCCUGUAGUC
This 442-nucleotide ribosomal RNA is filed under the name uncultured bacterium. RNAcentral's name for it is "partial 16S ribosomal RNA". It matches the Rfam family "Bacterial small subunit ribosomal RNA", at positions 338 to 795 of the family's 1533-position model. The record is from RNAcentral.